RNAcentral lists this ribosomal RNA (253 nucleotides) under uncultured bacterium. Its description in RNAcentral is "partial 16S ribosomal RNA". It matches the Rfam family "Bacterial small subunit ribosomal RNA", at positions 524 to 776 of the family's 1533-position model. The record is from RNAcentral.
UACGUAGGGGGCGAGCGUUGUUCGGAAUCACUGGGUGUAAAGGGUGCGUAGGCGGUUUGAUAAGUCUGAUGUGAAAUCCCUUGGCUCAACUGAGGAAUUGCAUUGGAAACUAUCAAGCUGGAGUAUCGGAGAAGAGAGCGGAAUUUCUGGUGUAGCGGUGAAAUGCGUAGAUACCAGGAGGAACACCGGUGGCGAAAGCGGCUCUCUGGCCGAAUACUGACGCUAAGGCACGAAAGCGUGGGGAGCAAACGGG